Molecule: ribosomal RNA, 465 nt
Filed under: uncultured bacterium
Lineage: Bacteria
Description: partial 16S ribosomal RNA
Rfam family: Bacterial small subunit ribosomal RNA
Source: RNAcentral
CCUACGGGAGGCAGCAGUGGGGAAUAUUGCGCAAUGGGCGAAAGCCUGACGCAGCGACGCCGCGUGAGGGAUGAAGGUCUUCGGAUCGUAAACCUCUGUCAGCAGGGAAGCACGGUCACUGUGCUAAUCAGCAGUGACUUGACGGUACCUGCAAAGGAAGCACCGGCUAACUCCGUGCCAGCAGCCGCGGUAAUACGGAGGGUGCGAGCGUUAAUCGGAAUUACUGGGGGGAAAGCGCAUGUAGGCGGUAUGUGAAGUCAAGGGUGAAAUCCCCGCGCGCAACGUGGGAAGUGCCUUUGAAACUGGCAAAAUGGAGUGUGUGAGAGGAUAGUGGAAUUCCAGGUGUAGGAGUGAAAUCCGUAGAUAUCUGGAGGAACAUCAGUGGCGAAGGCGACUAUCUGGCACAUAACUGACGCUGAGGAGCGAAAGCGUGGGUAGCAAACAGGAUUAGAUACCCUUGUAGUC